GCCUGAUUGGCUCAGUCAGUGGAGCAUGUGACUCUUGAUCUCAGGGUUGUGAGUUUGAACCCCAUGUUGAGCA
RNAcentral lists this transfer RNA (73 nucleotides) under Felis catus (domestic cat). It matches the Rfam family "tRNA". Rfam says of the family: Transfer RNA (tRNA) molecules are approximately 80 nucleotides in length. Their secondary structure includes four short double-helical elements and three loops (D, anti-codon, and T loops). Lineage: Eukaryota; Metazoa; Chordata; Mammalia; Carnivora; Felidae. RNAcentral also lists the same sequence under 4 other names. The record is from Rfam by way of RNAcentral.